GAUGAACGCUGGCGGCGUGCCUAAUACAUGCAAGUCGAGCGAACGGACGAGAAGCUUGCUUCUCUGAUGUUAGCGGCGGACGGGUGAGUCACACGUGGAUAACCUACCUAUAAGACUGGGAUAACUUCGGGAAACCGUAGCUAAUACCGGAUAAUAUUUUGAACCGCAUGGUUCAAAAGUGAAAGACGGUCUUGCUGUCACUUAUAGAUGGAUCCGCGCUGCAUUAGCUAGUUGGUAAGGUAACGGCUUACCAAGGCAACGAUGCAUAGCCGACCUGAGAGGGUGAUCGGCCAGACUGGAACUGAGACACGGUCCAGACUCCUACGGGAGGUAGCAGUAGGGAAUCUUCCGCAAUGGGCGAAAGCCUGACGGAGCAACGCCGCGUGAGUGAUGAAGGUCUUCGGAUCGUAAAACUCUGUUAUUAGGGAAGAACAUAUGUGUAAGUAACUGUGCACAUCUUGACGGUACCUAAUCAGAAAGCCACGGCUAACUACGUG
This 497-nucleotide ribosomal RNA is filed under the name uncultured bacterium. RNAcentral's name for it is "partial 16S ribosomal RNA". It matches the Rfam family "Bacterial small subunit ribosomal RNA", at positions 28 to 507 of the family's 1533-position model. The record is from RNAcentral.